Molecule: non-coding RNA, 108 nt
Filed under: uncultured Shewanella sp.
Lineage: Bacteria; Pseudomonadati; Pseudomonadota; Gammaproteobacteria; Alteromonadales; Shewanellaceae
Description: TPP riboswitch (THI element)
Rfam family: TPP riboswitch aptamer (THI element)
About the family: Vitamin B(1) in its active form thiamin pyrophosphate (TPP) is an essential coenzyme that is synthesised by coupling of pyrimidine and thiazole moieties in bacteria.
Source: RNAcentral
UAGUCGGGGAGCCAUUAGGCUGAGAUCUACUGCUAAGAGGAUGCAAUCCUCUUAAGUCACAUGAACCCGUUGAACCUGAUUCAGUUAAUACUGACGUAGGGAACUAAU